This 2588-nucleotide small RNA is filed under the name Pongo abelii (Sumatran orangutan). RNAcentral describes it as "retained intron". The record is from RNAcentral. Lineage: Eukaryota; Metazoa; Chordata; Mammalia; Primates; Hominidae.
CGGGCUGGAGGGAUCCGGUUGGGGGGUUCCAAGUCCCACAGAAGGUGAAGUGGGUGACCCAUGAGUAUCCCUGAACUGAGUGAAGAGUAAAUGAUGCAUAGGAAGUUUAGAUAAGGGAGGAGAAAGUGUUCCAGGUAGAGGGAACAGCAUAUGCAGAAGCCAGGAAGGAGAUGAGAUCAUAGUGUGUGUUUGGAAACAGAAAGAAGUAAUAGGGCUGAGAGGAUGGGAGAGAGGGGAACGCUGGACAAGAGGACUUGGGCUUGGGGGGCAUGAGGAGGUCACCAUUUAUACUACACCCAGUACAGAUGUCCACUGAGGGACCCAUUGCCACUCCCCUCCCCAGGUCCCUGAAGACUUCAUCUCCCGAGAGCUGUUUGACACAGUCCAAGUGUACAUCAUCACCAAGCCAGAGCUGCAGAACAAGCUUAUCACUGUGUGAGACCCUAGCUCGGGGUGAGCGGUGGGUGGCAGGGGUUGUCCCAGGAGGAGGAAGGGACAGGCUUGGGGGCCUGACUGUGUUCCAAUUAUCCAGCACAGCUAUGGAAAAGAAGCUGAUCGGCUGUCCUGUGUGCAUCGAACACAAGAAGUACAGCCGCAAUGCCCUCCUCUUCAACCUGGGCUUCGUGUGUGAUGCCCAGGCCAAGACCUGCGCCCUCGAGCCCAUCGUUAAAAAGCUGGCUGGCUAUCUGACCACACUAGAGGUCUGCAAUGAGAUGGGCUUGGGUUUACGGACAGGCAGAGUUGGGGAAGGUGUUCCCAUGUCUCCAAAGUCCCCCAAACCUGGGACCCUGCCAACCAGCUCAGGACUCAGGGCAGCCAACCAGCCAGGGGUCCUGGGAUGUGCCCACCAUGCUUUCCAUGCUCUAUCUAGCUAGAGAGCAGCUUCGUGUCCAUGGAGGAGAGCAAGCAGAAGUUGGUGCCCAUCAUGACCAUCUUGCUGGAGGAGCUAAAUGCCUCAGGCCGGUGCACUCUGCCCAUUGGUAUGGCCAGCCUCUGCAAGGACAGCAGAGGGGUAGAGAAGAGAUGGGAAAGUGAGCCCAGCCAGUCAGGGAGAAGGACAAGACUCACGAACACACUGGUGGGCAGGAAAUAGCCAUGGGCUGGGGUGCCCAUGUCCAGGGUCCAAUGCAUGAUGGAGCUGGGACUGGGGGUAGGGGGAAAGCAGAGCUCUCCAGCUCUGCUCCUUGGGCAAUUCCUUCCCCUUUGUGGGACUCAGUUUUUCACUCCAUAAAAAGAAAGAUUAGCCCUACCCAGAGGCACCUGCUUGCCCCAAGGGAUGCUGGGAGGCCUGGAUGGUAAUUGAGGGCCUCUUGGAAGAAGUGGCACUGAGGAUAUGGAUGGGGCCCCCUGCAGAUGAGUCCAACACCAUCCACUUGAAGGUGAUUGAGCAGCGGCCAGACCCUCCGGUGGCCCAGGAGUAUGAUGUACCUGUCUUUACCAAAGACAAGGAGGAUUUCUUCAAUUCACAGUGGGACCUCACUACACAACAAAUCCUGCCCUACAUUGAUGGGUUCCGCCACGUCCAGAAGAUUUCAGCAGAGGCAGAUGUGGAGCUCAACCUGGUGCGCAUUGCUAUCCAGAACCUGCUGUGAGUGGGCCUACAGUCAUACCCAUUACAAGGUCACCAGCCAGGGAAGACCUCAGGGGCCCUGGGUGUGAGGGUUGGGAAGGCAUGGUCCUCAGAAGCUGAGCACAACUCUCUCUCUCAGGUACUAUGGCGUUGUGACACUGGUGUCCAUCCUCCAGGUAGUACUCCAAUGUAUACUGCCCAACGCCCAAGGUCCAGGACCUGGUAGAUGACAAGUCCCUGCAGGAGGCAUGUCUAUCCUACGUGACCAAGCAAGGUAGUGGUGGGCUCUGAGGGAAGCCAUCUUGGGGAGGGCAGAGCCACAUGGUGAGCUGAUCCCUGGCACCCACAGGGCACAAGAGGGCCAGUCUCCGGGAUGUGUUCCAGCUAUACUGCAGCCUGAGCCCUGGCACUACCGUGCGAGACCUCAUUGGCCGCCACCCCCAGCAGCUGCAGCACGUUGAUGAACGGUCAGAGGAGAAUUUGCUGGGGCAUUUGGGAGUUACCUGAGGGAAGCUAGACCCUUUAUGUCUCUCAGGAGCCCUGGGUCAUGGGGCACUGCCAAUCCAAGCAGGCUUCCUGGAGAUGAUGGGCUACAGAGACAAAAUUGAAGGGAGACUACAGGAAGGGGUUGGCCUGCCUGAAAGAAGGCCUGGCCAGGGCGUCACCUCUCUGUCCUCUGAUCCUCACCCUAGGAAGCUGAUCCAGUUCGGGCUUAUGAAGAACCUCAUCAGGCGACUACAGAAGUAUCCUGUGCGGGUGACUCGGGAAGAGCAGAGCCACCCUGCCCGGCUUUAUACAGGCUGCCACAGCUAUGACGAGAUCUGCUGCAAGACAGGCAUGAGCUACCAUGAGCUGGAUGAGCGGCUUGAAAAUGACCCCAACAUCAUCAUCUGCUGGAAGUGAGGCUGGUAGUGGCUGGAUGGACACAUUGCUGUGGGUAGUCCCUCCUACCAGGAGGCUUGUCAUACUGUCUAGAGGUUGACUCUUAGUUCUGUAAAUAAAGACAUCCAUUUCAAAC